Molecule: ribosomal RNA, 468 nt
Filed under: uncultured bacterium
Lineage: Bacteria
Description: partial 16S ribosomal RNA
Rfam family: Bacterial small subunit ribosomal RNA
Source: RNAcentral
GACGAACGCUGGCGGCGUGCUUAACACAUGCAAGUCGAACGGAAAGGCCCUGCUUUUGUGGGGUGCUCGAGUGGCGAACGGGUGAGUAACACGUGAGUAACCUGCCCUUGACUUUGGGAUAACUUCAGGAAACUGGGGCUAAUACCGGAUAGGAGCUCCUGCUGCAUGGUGGGGGUUGGAAAGUUUCGGCGGUUGGGGAUGGACUCGCGGCUUAUCAGCUUGUUGGUGGGGUAGUGGCUUACCAAGGCUUUGCCGGGUAGCCGGCCUGAGAGGGUGACCGGACACAUUGGGACUGAGAUACGGCCCAGACUCCUCCGGGAGGCAGCAGUGGGGAAUAGUGCACAAUGGGCGGAGGCCUGAUGCAGCAACGCCGCGUGCGGGAUGACGGCCUUCGGGUUGUAAACCGCUUUCGCCUGUGACGAAGCGUGAGUGACGGUAAUGGGUAAAGAAGCACCGGCUAACUACGUG